AUUAUGGAGAACGAAUCCGAAACAUAGGUUAUAUGUAUUAUUGCAUCUACUGAACAGUAGUUAUGAUAUUGUUAAUUAUAUUUGUGUUUUUAAUAUUUUGGUCCAUGAUGUAAACUAAAACUUAUUACACAGACUAUGAAGUCGCCUGCAUUUAUCCCGACGAGCGCAUUAUUUAAUAAGAACACUGUUUAAUUUGGGCAUCACCUUCGUAUACUUAAUAUUUACUCACUUUUUAUGAGCCUGCACUAGGAUACUUUAUUUGGAUUAGCUCUUUUCACAAUAGAUGAUUGUCAAUGUUCAACUAAUAUGUAAAACGAAAAAUAAUGAAAUAAAUACAAACAAUAAUA
Drosophila albomicans is the source of this 347-nucleotide long non-coding RNA. RefSeq lists it as uncharacterized. The record is from RefSeq and is a predicted model, not a curated record. The transcript is spliced from 2 exons. NCBI's taxonomy places the organism in Eukaryota, Metazoa, Arthropoda, Insecta, Diptera, Drosophilidae.